Molecule: ribosomal RNA, 407 nt
Filed under: uncultured bacterium
Lineage: Bacteria
Description: bacterial SSU rRNA
Rfam family: Bacterial small subunit ribosomal RNA
Source: RNAcentral
UACUCUUGACAUCCUGCGAACUUUCGAGAGAUCGAUUGGUGCCUUCGGGAACGCAGAGACAGGUGCUGCAUGGCUGUCGUCAGCUCGUGUUGUGAGAUGUUGGGUUAAGUCCCGCAACGAGCGCAACCCUUGUCCUUAGUUGCCAGCACGUAAUGGUGGGAACUCUAAGGAGACUGCCGGUGACAAACCGGAGGAAGGUGGGGAUGACGUCAAGUCAUCAUGGCCCUUACGGCCAGGGCUACACACGUACUACAAUGGUCGGUACAGAGGGUUGCAAUACCGCGAGGUGGAGCCAAUCCCAGAAAGCCGAUCCCAGUCCGGAUCGAAGUCUGCAACUCGACUUCGUGAAGUCGGAAUCGCUAGUAAUCGCAGAUCAGCUAUGCUGCGGUGAAUACGUUCCCGGGCCU